CCACGGCAGGGAUUCCAUUUGGGAAGGACCCUUUAGUUUGCCGGUUUCUAAAAGGGGUAUUUGAACUGAAACCUUGCCUCCCAAAAUACGCUGAAAUUUGGGAUGUAAAUAAAGUUAUUUGUUACCUACAACAGUUUACUUCAGUUUCUGAAGUCAGUUUAAAAGAUCUUACAAUGAAUCUUGCCACUUUAUUGUGUCUACUAACAGGACAAAGAUGUCAAACGAUACACAAGAUAGAUAUGAACUUCAUCCAAUUGGAAACGGACAAAUGCAUUAUCACAAUUAGAGAAGUUUUAAAACAUACUAAGGCUGGAAAACACCAAGUGCCUUUGGAACUUCGCUCAUACCCAAGGGACAAAAGAGUUUGUGUGUUAGAGUACCUUAAAGAAUAUAUCAAACGAACUACUGUUCUCAGAGGUGAACAAUCGAAACUAUUUGUGAGUUUCGUAAAGCCCCAUAAAGCGGUAACCAAAGACACCAUUGCCAGAUGGGUCAAAUCAGUACUACAGCAAUCGGGAAUUGAUACAGAUAAAUUCACGUGUCACAGCACCCGGGCUGCAUCAACGUCGUGUGUCAAAGCAGCAGGACUUAAUUUAAAACAAAUAAUGCAGUCUGCUGGCUGGUCCAAUUCCUCUACCUUUGCAAAGUUUUAUGAUAAACAUAUUGAAACUGAAAAUUUUGGUUCAACAAUUCUCAACACAGCAGAUGUUGAAACAGUAACAACAGUUUAAGUAGUUAUAAUGUAGUUGGG
Non-coding RNA from Paramuricea clavata, 751 nucleotides. Lineage: Eukaryota; Metazoa; Cnidaria; Anthozoa; Malacalcyonacea; Plexauridae. The record is from the annotation of a GenBank genome assembly.